CUUCUGCACAAGCAGAUCUGGACCUCUUUUUGGGCAGAAGCUUUUCUCCUGCUCUUGUCUUUCACAGCUCGGGAAAGAGGAAAGGUUCCCAUUGCUAAGCCAGGUCCAGGCCAGUUUUGACUCUUUAGAUAUCAGCAUCAAAUUUUGCAAGGUCUCGUGGAUGAAUAAUAAACCACUGCAUCGCUUCCACAUGCUGUGUUCUGUGGUCUUCAGGAGGAAAUGACCCUUAUCCUUUCCCAAACCAACAGUUAACACACCUUUGUUGAUACGUGUCAUACUUCUGAGGCUCAGAGCUCCUAACAGUCCCUGGGGACUGGCUUCUGCACCAGAGACAAAAAGCUGAGCAGAACGUGCAGAGGAAGCCGUACAAAAGUAACCUAUUGCCGUGCUGUUUGGCUGCUCUUGGCUGUCGAUGACAAGUGGACUGGUGGUGUUAGGCAGCUCCCAGGGGGAGGAUCAGAAGUACUCUAUCUAUGACACCUUGUUUAAGGAAUCCCUGCACUGGGGGCAGGCAGGAGGAACUCUACUGUGGCCAUGCAGCGCUUCUUGCUUGUGCUUUACCAGGAACCAGUGCCCAUGCUGGUGGGGUUUGCCCAGAUGCAGAGAUGUUGAUUCUUUACAGCUAGUGGAAGGCACAGGAUGGGAGGUGGGGGAUACACAUCCUUUCACAGCUGUGGGUGUGAUUAACCAGGCUUCUCUGGACCAGGCUGCAUGUGUGAGCUGUCUGGAGGUCUCAGCUUGGUACCGAGAAGUAUGUGAAUUUAGCAGAACAGAAGCAAAGGAAGAAGAAACUGUCCAAGAGUUGGUGACCAUGUGUGCUGGGAAGGAUGAUGAAAUAACAAAGUAUUCCCAUCAUGAUUUAUGACUGAAGAGAAAUGCUGUCCAGGUGAUGAUCCAGUCCAUUAUCUCGACGGAGGUGCUGACCACUGUAGGGAAGCACAGAGAGCUGAUGUACAACAUGAUGGAGAACAAGCAGAAGAAAGGGGGCUUCCAGGUUACAACUGAAAAAAGCAUAAUUCAUAUGAUUUGCAAUAAUUGGAUGCAAAAGAAAAAAAAAGAAAAACAGAAAACUUUAUCCUAUUGCUCCUCCCCCGAGCUGCCGGAGCUCAGGGAGCGUUGGGAUACCACUCUUAGAUGUAGGGUGUGGGUUUGGGUGUUCCUAUGUGGAGCUGAG
This 1174-nucleotide long non-coding RNA is filed under the name Gallus gallus (chicken). Its description in RNAcentral is "lncRNA (ENSGALG00010025266.1)". Lineage: Eukaryota; Metazoa; Chordata; Aves; Galliformes; Phasianidae. The record is from RNAcentral.